Molecule: non-coding RNA, 134 nt
Organism: Paramuricea clavata
Lineage: Eukaryota; Metazoa; Cnidaria; Anthozoa; Malacalcyonacea; Plexauridae
Source: the annotation of a GenBank genome assembly
AUGUAGUAAAACACUGACUACCGGAACACCACCGGAACACCACCAUUUUGUUUGGGGUUGGGGUUAGGUGGUGUUCCGGUGGUGUUCCGGUGGUGUUCCGGUAGUCAGUGUUUUACUACAUGCCCUUAUUUUGU